This is a long non-coding RNA of Cyanistes caeruleus (blue tit), 2319 nucleotides long. RefSeq lists it as uncharacterized. NCBI's taxonomy places the organism in Eukaryota, Metazoa, Chordata, Aves, Passeriformes, Paridae. The record is from RefSeq and is a predicted model, not a curated record.
UAUUGUAAAAAUAUCCAAUACAGGGAGUGAAACUUAUAGACAGCUACUUUUUGGGCUGUUUUGUUAUUUUUGGUUUUUUUCUCUAAAAAUAGUUUUUUUCCCAGUUUCACUCAUUGAACAUGUUCACCAGAGGGACCCAUGAGCAUCAUAGCUGGAACACGGGAGGAGGAGGAAAUAAUUUAACAGGGAUUUGAAUUUAUCUCAAUUUAAAUCAUCAUGGAAUUAAAGCCUGGUAAAAACCUUGAUAGCCAGAGAUUUCUUCUAUGAUUAGUGAAAAGGUAAAAGUAGCCUAAAUCACUUUAUAUAUCACCCUAUAUAGAAUUUGAUUUUUCUUUAUUCUUUAUAGAGAGAUCUUGGAGAUACAAUUCUCCUACAGUUGUGUUAUGGACUAAGUUAAACAAGUAAAUUUUGGAAUAAAUUAGAGUUUUAAAUCCAGAUUUUAUAAGUGCAGAUGUUAUGACAUGGCUUCUUCCCAGAUCCAGUAUUCAUGUAACAGAAAUUGUUACAUGUGCUCACGGAUGCAUGUGACAAUGUCUGUUUCUCAUAUACAAAAGUGCCAAAUAUUUAAAUUUGCCUUCCAUUCUGACUCUGAUAGCAUGAUGACUAAGUACAUAUAUUAUCAUAUCUUCUGUGUAUAACCAAACAUUAAUAUAAAUCUACCUGAUUCAUUCAUUGUACAGAGAAAAGGCCUAGAAACUUAUUAAUCUCAUGUUAUCUUGGACAUUAGUAUGCCAUUAUAUUGGGGAAAUUACCAUUAGGUAGUCCAUUUUAUUUAAAGAUUUCUAGUGCUUUGCAAUACAAAUUUUUUGAAAAUUCAGCACAGUCAAAUAAGGGGAAGCUGACAUUUAUAAGAUUAAAUAACCACUCAAUUUGCCCCUACAAAAUGUAGCAUCAGAGAAAGUCAUAAUUCAGGUAUCUUUUAUUCCACUCACUCUGACUGCUGUCUUGUAUAGGAUUGAGUGACUUUACACUUAGGAUAGCACAGUGUGUAUCCAGAAUCAUGUUAUGGAUACUGUGACAGUACUGAAAUAGUCUGUCCUGUCUGUCAUCUGCAGUCGUCUGGCCAGACUGCACCAAUUAAAACUCUACAGUGGGUACAGUUCAAAACCAGUGGGGUUUUUCCAGAAGUGCCAAUGAGCACUGCACCCAGUGGAUUUCUCUCUCACAAUCCUGUAGGCAGCAGUAGGAUUCACUGACAGAGUCACAGGCAAAUUGAUGUAGCCUAACUACAACAAAGUAGUAGUUAACUACUGCAACAAAGUAGUUACUAACUGCAACAAAGGAUUUAAAGGCAUAUAUUUCAAACAAUCAGGAGGACUGGUACUUGUGCUGUGUUACCCACACCCUGUGGGUUGAAACCCGAUACUUCAGCUGUGGCAUGCCUGUACCAGCCUUACCAGCUCUUUCUUUCUGCCUCUAAUGCUCUGUCAGUCUGAUCUGUCAGAAAAACAGGACACAGAUUUCUCUAGCACCCUGUAACACAGACAUGGUACAAUAACAGAUCUCAGAUUUUCAGCGGUAUGAAAAAGUAAUCAGAGGCUAGAGAGCCCAUUUGUCAAUGUGGAGGAGCAUUCCCCCAUCCCUUUGCAGGCCGCACUAUGACCCCAGAAGCUCGUUAGGCCUCAGCCCUGAUGAGCAGCGCCUGGACUCAGCAUCUCGAGUGCCUCAGAAACAUCGUCUGCUCCAGAAACUGCUGCUCUAACAGGCUCUUGGGGUUCUUUAAUUAUGAACAGCCUUGGAAACGACUUUUCUUGCCUGAAUGGCAUAACAGUUUUGUUCUUUCAAAGAAAGUUGCCCAAACCGUGGCCAGGGUGAAACAUUGCUGUGAUUAAGGCCCUUGCUUGCGGCCUAUGGACAGAGAUCCAAAAUGAGGCCCUUGGAGCUCUCCAGGACCAGCACCCUCCCUCUGAGGGGCACCUCCUAGAGCCAGAGAUCUCUUGUUUGCUGUACUCAGAGGUUGCUGAACUACAGUGGAUCCUGGGCUGAAACCCCCACUCCUCGAGGCCCCACCUUUCACUCGUCAGGAGACGCAAAGGCAUCCAAGGUUCUACUAUUUUAUUCUCCACCUCCAAGGCUGCAUGGUGUGCAUGAUAGAAAGACUUUGGACUACUUUAAGAGCUCACAUCCCCAGUGCUACCCCUUUAAAGCAAAUGGAGCUGUACAGGUGGACAGUUCAGAUAUCUCUCAGCUCUUCUUAAAUUGGACUGAACUAGACCUUUUGAACUCACCCGAUAAUUAUGCAUGAAAUUAUUCAACUACCUCCUAGUUCCAAAGACAUUUUGAGCUAUGGACUGCCCUGUUAAUGAUUUCCCCAUCCUU